This 660-nucleotide unclassified non-coding RNA is filed under the name Hevea brasiliensis (rubber tree). The record is from RNAcentral. Lineage: Eukaryota; Viridiplantae; Streptophyta; Magnoliopsida; Malpighiales; Euphorbiaceae.
CACACACACACACACGCGCACACAUAUAUUUAACAAACAAAAGAUGGAAAAACGAAUUAUUUAACAAGCGUUGAAUGAUGAUGGAGCCAAUAAAUAAGGUGCUUGCUUUUAUGUAUCCUCCCAAAAAAAUGGCGACACAUCUAUGGAUUUAAAUUGCAGCCGGGGCCAGAAUAACGGUCUUGGUCGCAUGUUGUCGAAAUGGGGUUUUGUGGUUGUAACUUGAAGGUAAUGGCCUACCACUAUGCAAACUUUUUAGAAAAAGUUGCAAAAUGUAGGAACUAAUAGAUAUUAAUUGAAUCAAUUGAAAUAAAGAGUUCAACUUACUAAUGAGCAUAAAUACAUUACAUAAGAUUCUGAAUUCAUGACUUAUAAUCCUUAUUAACAAUUAUCUUAAUUGAUUAGCAUAAAACAUAGUAGAGGCAGGAAAAAUGGGUGAUCCAAUGUACGAAGCAUCCCACACUAUUUCGGCUCUGGGGAGGGUUGAUGUACGUAGCUUUACUCCUGUUUUGCAAAGAGGUUGUUUCCGUGAGAGUAGAUGAUAGAAAGCUAACCUUAAAUAAUAAGUCUUUAGUACUUACUGCAUGAUCUAUUUCUUGAUCUUCAAUAAAAUUUGGAGUUAUUUUGAAGUGGGUUGAAAAAAAAGAAAACCAGCAACUCAAA